GACGAACGCUGGCGGCGUGCCUAAUACAUGCAAGUAGAACGCUGAAGGAGGAGCUUGCUUCUCUGGAUGAGUUGCGAACGGGUGAGUAACGCGUAGGUAACCUGCCUGGUAGCGGGGGAUAACUAUUGGAAACGAUAGCUAAUACCGCAUAAUAGCAGUUGUUGCAUGAUAACUGUUUGAAAGGUGCAAUUGCACCACUACCAGAUGGACCUGCGUUGUAUUAGCUAGUUGGUGGGGUAACGGCUCACCAAGGCGACGAUACAUAGCCGACCUGAGAGGGUGAUCGGCCACACUGGGACUGGGACACGGCCCAGACUCCUACGGGAGGCAGCAGUAGGGAAUCUUCGGCAAUGGACGGAAGUCUGACCGAGCAACGCCGCGUGAGUGAAGAAGGUUUUCGGAUCGUAAAGCUCUGUUGUAAGAGAAGAACGAGUGUGAGAGUGGAAAGUUCACACUGUGACGGUAUCUUACCAGAAAGGGACGGCUAACUACGUG
This 495-nucleotide ribosomal RNA is filed under the name uncultured bacterium. Its description in RNAcentral is "partial 16S ribosomal RNA". It matches the Rfam family "Bacterial small subunit ribosomal RNA", at positions 28 to 507 of the family's 1533-position model. The record is from RNAcentral.